RNAcentral lists this long non-coding RNA (960 nucleotides) under Phoenix dactylifera (date palm). RNAcentral describes it as "long non-coding RNA (PDAC_LNC016720)". Lineage: Eukaryota; Viridiplantae; Streptophyta; Magnoliopsida; Arecales; Arecaceae. The record is from RNAcentral.
AAUUCCACUUAAUUCUUCUUCCAUUAACUCAUUAACAUUUAGUGGGUUAAUUCAGUCACCAAUCAUAUUGAUAAUUGACAUCAAUUAUGAUUCUAAAUCAUAAUUACGAUAAUUUGACUAAUCAAAUCCUUUAUGUGUACGAUCCUGUAGGUUCUAUUCUGUCUGGUAGUAAGACAUAUUGAGAUCUCCAUCUCAAUAUCACUGAAACUCCUUUUAGUGGACUGAAAUAAUUUCAGGUCUACUAAUCAUCAAGUGAAUGCCUUCAAGUCUCACAAUCCACUAGUGACACCUAGCAGUAUGUGGUGGCAACCCAGCAGAAUGGAAUGUCUAAACCUCUUAGUGCAGUUAGCGCAUGAUACAGUCCUUUUAUCAUGGAUCCCGACAUGACAGAGGUUAUGGAUAACUCGUCAAACUCCAUCGUCCAUCAUAUGUCAAAUUUAUUCGACCUCUAGUUCGAGAUAUGAAAAACUCUUUUUCCAAAAUAUCUGGCUAGGAAUUUAUCGAACUGAGUCUCAUAAAUCACGUAGGAUCACUCUUAAUCUAUCAAGAUCGAUAGAUUCAAUUUAGAUGCAACCCUAUUCCAAAAUGAACCUACUAUAGCCAAUCCGCACCACAAGGAUCCGAAUGGCUAGGGUCCAAGUUUGUAUACUCGUCAAACUACAGCAACCUCACAGUGAAUAGUUGAGGCAUCUUAGGUCCAAGAACCAGUCAUACAACUGCAACAUAAGUAGUCACUGACGAGUGGAUAGACAUCCAUGUAACUACUUUCUUCGGCCACGUUCAAUACCUUGUUCUCUAACAAGUACUUGCACAAUCACUCCAAUGUCUCUACACUGUGGACUCGAGACUCAUCCAUCUGACUAAGUGAUCUAUGCACUAAUCUUAUCAGAUCGAUCACCGUCCCUCAUGAUGGAUCCAUCGAUCAGGAACAUUUAGAAAUUAAUCCCUAAUGACACAUGC